CUCCUAUUGCAGCUAUUGCUGUAAGUUGUAGAAUAAUAUUCAUCAAAGUGUCGAUUUGCAAUUUCUUAUUUAAUUAAUUCCUAAUGCAUGUCUGAAUUAGUCAAUCCUUGCAUUGAAGGCUGUAAUUGGGUUGUAAUAACCUAUAGUGUUUUCUUCAAUGGGGAGGAGGAAAUGAUUUCUGCAAGUGGGAAGGGGUUAAAAAAUGCAUGAAUAGAAGGGUCAUCAAGCUCAUGGUUGAAAGAGUAAAUUUGACUGGCACACAGGGUGGGAAAAGCCUAAAUCAGUUGGAUCAGCUUAGGGUUUUAUGGUUUUAAAAAAAACUCAUUAUCUCAAUCAAUUCCACAACUCUCUGGCCUUGUAAAUCUGAAAUCUCUUUACCUCAAUGAUAAUAAGCUGUCCAGCGAAAUACUGGUAGGUCUCAGUCUUACACCACCUGAAAGUAGUGUUUCUUUUUGGUAAUAGACUAUCAGGUCACAUUCUUCUGUCUUUUAUUGCUCUGAGCAGAUUGUUAGCGAUCAUAUCAGGAUGUGAUGAAAUUAAGUCAUUUUAGUUAGCCGACUUCUUUCAUCAUUUUAGUCAUUAUAAUCAUUUUAGGAUUAAAUAUGAUGUACAUAUGACAUCCAUUUUAGUAUACUCCUUUCAUUAUUUUAGUCGGUUCAAUGAUAAAAGAAGUCGAAUUCUUUUGUCAUUUUAGUGGGCUUAUUGAUUAAAGAAGCCGUCUCACAUUUAGCUCUUGUUUGAUCUCUAUUAUUUUCAAGAUACAUUUCUCCAUCUCUUCUUUUUAAUCGCAGUUUCUUCAAUAAAAUAACAUUAAGUAAACCAAUUUUUUUUUUCAUUUUUAACCACACAUUCUCCAUUCUAUUUCAAAAUGGAUUCUUAUAAUAAAAUGGGGGCUCAAACACGAUCUUAAUUAAACAUUUUAUAGGUUGUAAAAUCACAGAGUAUUUCACCAUUUUGUUCCUCUUUAUCCCUCUAGCACAUCCACUUUAUGUAUAGCAGAGGAAUUCAUUUCAAUAGGCUUAAUGAUAAAGAAGGGUAUUUGAUUCUAUCUCCUUAUCUAAUUCAUCUUUUGGAUCAGGUUAUGAAUUCAAGGAAGAUGAUAUAUUGUUAUAUGUGAUUUUGAUUGUUUACAUCCAAGUACAACAAGUAGGCUGCAUAUGGCCACUCAAAACUUGAUAAUAUACUCCAUGCUAAUGAGCUGGCGAGACGAUUAAAAGUACUCAGUUCGACGUGCAAUCUGAACAAGAUUCAUUGUCCACCGUAUGAUUUUCGUUAUUAUUUAUUCUUUUAUUCUUUAUUUUUUUAGCUGUUGUUUUCAUUGAAGUGCACUAUUUAUUUUAUAUUGACUAGCAUGAAGGGGAUUACAAAAACGGUUUGUCUAUAACAAAGACAAAAAUAGAUAAAAAAGAACAACCAAAGUGUAAACUAACUUGAGGAAAUCUAGACUUCCUUAUAUUUUGAGAUGUAGAUUGUUCACCUAAGCCUCAAAGUUUUCAAUUCUGGACAAAUAGAACGACUUGUUUUCCUCAAAAUGUUUUCUCAAAUCAAAAAAUUGACUUCUUUCUUUGAAUGUAGCUUCGAAUUCCAAAACAUGAGCCUCCAAUUUAGAAUUUUUUACUUUCAGUUCCCCAGUUUCGUUCGACUUGCACUCAAUUUGCUCCUCUAAUUUCUUCUUUGUGUUCAUUGUUUUUCAGUCUCAGACUUCCAUUUUCAACCUGGCCCUCUUAACUCUUUCAUAAGCAACAACAGUUUCCCUUAUCAACCAAUCUUCCUUUUAACAAGACAGAUGAAUCCAACAAUAUUUGUUGAAGGAGAUAUCUAGAAGAGGUGUCCUCUUGCAAUGUAUUUGCUGUGAAGUUAGACUAUUGACUAAUUGUCGAUGUAACUUGAUCUAGCUGGUUUUCUCACUUUUGCUCCUAUGUUCGAUAUUCUCUCAACUUCAACAAGUAAUUCUUUUUUGGAUUCUUGACAUGUGAGCUUCUCAAAUUUUCUUAUUUUUAAUACACUAUCGUUGGUGCUGGUGCGUGACAUUUUUGUCUUUAAGGUUUCAUGGUGGUUUGAUUAUGUGAAAAUAAUACAAUUGCAGUGCCAAUGGAGUAGCUCUUUAUUUUGCCCCUUCUUCACCCUCUACCUUUUGAUUACAGUUUACAGAGGUGUGAUUAAAUUUUGUGCAUUUAUUAUCUAAUGUAACUUUACGAAUUCAUUCAUUUACUGGUAAUGUUUCUCAAAGCAAUUUCAUGUGUAACAUGCAAUUUCUUAUAUUCUUAUGAUGAUUUUUCUUUAAAUUCAUGGAGUAGCAAGGAACAAGAAUGUAAAUAUCAAUUUGAAUCAGGAAAACAUCACGAUUAAUGGUGUUGUAGAAUAAGGAGAAAUGCACCAAGAUUCAAUAUAUGCAGGAGAAACUAAUAAUUUUAAGUAAGAAUUGGAGAAAUAAUAGUGAAAGACUAUUGUCUUUUAGGUUGGAGACUAUUUCUACACCAAAAAAUUGAUUAAUUAAUUAACAACACUUAUAAUUUUCAUUUCUACUACUUCAUUUUGAGUUUUAGAUUAUGUUAUUCUGAUAACUUCCCUUAUAUAUUUCAUCUCAAACAGAUUCAAUCUUGAUUUUUGAGGAUCAUUUGUAUCUCUGGAGAGUCCAUUGCUCAUGUUUUUCAAUUUUUUAAAGUCUAUAAAAGGAUACAGAGGUUUUGAUGAAAAUUAAAGGAUAUAUGUGGCUCAAAAUGGCUGCAUUAUUCUGUGAUCUGAUCUUUAUCUGGUUGUUUUAUCAAUAAGGAGAAAAAGUUCUAGGUCUUUUUGAAAAUCAUCUCAAUAGGUUUCAAGCUGUGAAACAACUAUCGACAUCUGCAACAACAAAAAGUAUGAUUAUCUAUUAAAUUUUCACUUCCAUACGGAUGAGCAGGGUCAACACCACUGUCAUCUAUGAAGCGAACUGAAUCGGGCCUGACAUCUGAGGUAUGCUUAAGUUUGAAUGUUCCAUUUGUUUUAUUCAUAUCCUAUCACCGUAGGCAUUCGAAUAAGAACAUAUUGUUUUCGUAGAUACUUUUCUAACUACUACCUAUGAGUUCUAAAAUAUUCAAAAUAAAAAUAAAAAGAGUUCUUCGACAUUCAACGAAUGAUUUCCUUUUAAUUUUAUUUCUGUCUUUUCAAUGUCCUUUUGUCCAUAUUUCAUGUGGUUUCUUUCUCCAAUAUUACCUUAGUGUUUGAAUUGAGAAAACAUUAUUUUCUUCAGAAGCUCCUGAUUACCACUUUAAUUUUAAGUUCAACGAGAGCAUAUCGAUAUGGUGAGAUGAUUAUCUAUCGUCUUGUCAAGUUCUUUGUGAAUCAUCCUAACAUAUAAUGCCACUUAUUGGCGAUGAUGUGCAUUCCAAUUUGUGGAUUACAUGUUUUAAUGCACACAUUAGAGUAAUAGUUGCAUAGUUUCUUUCAUGGAUGCAUCAAAUUGCAUUUAUCCUGCUUCCAUUUUCGUGUAGGUUAUUUCAUAUGAAUAAUAGAUUAUUCUUGUUCUUACAAAGUACAUUUUACAUGAAAAUAUGCAGUUUUCUUAUUUCGAAACUUAAUAAGUUGUUCUAUGUUCUUCUACCUUGAUGAAGAAUGGAAAGGAGUUUCUUUUUUCAGACACUAGGAUUCAUUAAAGAUAUAACAAUGACAAUGGUAAGUUCCGUCAUUAAUAUUUAUGGAUUUUUUUAUUGCUUUAUUUUCUUAAUUAUUCAUAUAAAUCAAUUUUCUUCUUUUGUAUCUUUUCAUGUCUUGAUCAAUAUUGGUUGAGAUGAAUCAUCAAUUAGCCUGUGUCCAAAAGAUGGUGGCUGUGGGAAGCUAAACAAUAUUGAUCAUAUUUUCUCAACACUGCCCCAUGUUUCACGACAGUGAAUUUCCAGCUUCAUUUUACAUAUCCACAUUAUUUUAGUUUGUGUACCGAAAGUAUCCAUUAUCAUUGUCUGCUAUCCUCUUUUCGAUGGAAUUGUUGCCUUUGAUAAGACCUUCAACUAUUGACCAGCAAAGUGGUUAGAGAGUUCUAGUUUGGUAGUAAUUUAUAUUUUGUAUCAUUCUGAGGAAUCAAGAUUUUUAUGGGUUGGGAUAUAAGCAUGGCCAUCAAGCUCCAUGUUGAUACUUUUGAUUCUAUUAGUUUUUAUCAUAGGCAUAAUAUAGUACUAAAGAAGCGAAGAAGUUGGACUAAUUCUUGUGUUCUAAUUGUUCAUUUGGAGAUGAUUCGAAAAUAUCUUUGAACUCAAUCUGUGGAUCACCAACUAGUGACGGCAAGGUAUAAGUGCAUUACUAUAACUUGCAAGUUGUAGCAUUUGGAUUGCUGUGUAUUUUGUUAUUUAAAAUUCUAAAAAAAUGGAUUGUAUUGGCGGUCACAAUACUUAGAAAUCUUGUUGAAUGUGUCUUUAGCACUUCUGAAUUUUUGUUGGAGGUAACAGCUAGGUUUCUGAUACAUCAUAACUUCACUUCUAUGGGAAGAAUGGAUUUUGGUUGAACCUAACUUUCUCUCAUUCCAAACAUUGUUUAGAUGUUCUUUUUGAUUAUUUUAUAAUUUCUAUCAUAUGUUGAUCAAGUUUAAAGGUUAUCUAUGAUUCACUUAUAAUCGUUCUUUC
RNAcentral lists this long non-coding RNA (4592 nucleotides) under Olea europaea subsp. europaea. Lineage: Eukaryota; Viridiplantae; Streptophyta; Magnoliopsida; Lamiales; Oleaceae. The record is from RNAcentral.